UGAGUACGAGACGCUAAGGCGUCGAAGUAGUGUAUGUCAUACUUCCAAGAAAAGCUUGCACUGUCAUUCAUAAAAAAUGCCUGUACCAUAACCGACACAGGUGGGUAGGUAGAGUAUACUAAGGGGCGCGAGAUAACUCUCUCUAAGGGACUCGGCAAAAUGACUCCGUAACUUCGGGAGAAGGAGUGCCUUAUUUAUAAGGUUGCAAUAACAAGAUCCAAGCAACUGUUUAUCAAAAACACAGGUCUCCGCUAAGUCUUAAGACGAUGUAUGGGGGCUGACGCCUGCCCAGUGCCAGAAGGUUAAAGAAGUUGGUUAGUGUAUGCGAAGCUGAUGACUGAAGCCCUGGUGAACGGCGGCCGUAACAAUAACGGUCCUAAGGUAGCGAAAUUCCUUGUCGGGUAAGUUCCGACCCGCACGAAAGGCGUAAUGAUUUGGAUACUGUCUCGGAGAGAGGCUCGGUGAAAUAGACUUGUCUGUGAAGAUGCGGACUACCUGCACCAGGACAGAAAGACCCUAUGAAGCUUUACUGUAACUUGAAAUUGGAAUUGGACUUUGCUUGCGCAGUAUAGGUGGGAAGCGUUGAAGAUAUUCUUGCGGGAGUAUUGGAGCUAUCAGUGAGAUACCACUCUUGUAAUGUUAGAUUUCUAACUUUGAACCAUAAUCUGGUCAAAGAACAGUUUCAGGUGGGCAGUUUGACUGGGGCGGUCGCCUCCCAAAUGGUAACGGAGGCGUACAAAGGUUUCCUCCGAACGGAUAGAAAUCGUAUCUAGAGUGUAAAGGCAUAAGGAAGCUUGACUGUGAGACCUACAAGUCGAGCAGGGACGAAAGUCGGUCUUAGUGAUCUGACGGUACUGAGUGGAAAGGCCGUCACUCAACGGAUAAAAGUUACUCUAAGGAUAACAGGCUGAUCUCCCCCAAGAGUUCACAUCGACGGGGAGGUUUGGCACCUCGAUGUCGGCUCAUCGCAUCCUGGGGCGGUAGUACGUCCCAAGGGUUGGGCUGUUCGCCAUGAAAGCGGUACGCGAGCUGGGUUCAGAACGUCGUGAGACAGUUCGGUCCAUAUCCGGUGUAGGCGCUAGAAUAUUGAGAGGAGCCUUCUUUAGUACGAGAGGACCGAGAAGGACACACCGCUGGUGUACCAGUUAUCGUGCCAACGGUAAACGCUGGGUAGCUAUGUGUGGAGUGGAUAACCGCUGAAAGCAUCUAAGUGGGAAGCCCACCUCAAGAUGAGUAUUCCC
RNAcentral lists this ribosomal RNA (1241 nucleotides) under metagenome. RNAcentral describes it as "bacterial LSU rRNA". It matches the Rfam family "Bacterial large subunit ribosomal RNA", at positions 1564 to 2815 of the family's 2925-position model. The record is from RNAcentral.